AUUGAACGCUGGCGGCAUGCUUAACACAUGCGAGUCGAACGGAAACAGCAAGAGCUUGCUCUUGGCUGUCGAGUGGCGGACGGGUGAGUAACGCGUGGGAAUCUACCCAGUAGUGGAGGAUAGCCCAGAGAAAUUUGGAUUAAUACUGCAUACGAUCUACGGAUGAAAGGUGGCCUCUCCUUGGAAGCCAUCGCUAUUGGAUGAGCCCGCGUUAGAUUAGCUAGUUGGUGGGGUAAAGGCCUACCAAGGCGACGAUCUAUAGCUGGUCUGAGAGGACGACCAGCCACAUCGGGACUGAGACACGGCCCGGACUCCUACGGGAGGCAGCAGUGGGGAAUAUUGGACAAUGGGCGCAAGCCUGAUCCAGCAAUGCCGCGUGUGUGAAGAAGGCCUGAGGGUUGUAAAGCACUUUCAAUUGUGAAGAAGAUUAUAAGUUUAAUAAACUUGUGGUUUGACGUUAACUUUAGAAGAAGCACCGGCUAACUCUGUGCCAGCAGCCGCGGUAAUACAGAGGGUGCGAGCGUUAAUCGGAAUUACUGGGCGUAAAGCGCGCGUAGGCGGUUAUUUAAGUCAGAUGUGAAAUCCCAGGGCUCAACCUUGGAACUGCAUCUGAUACUGGGUAACUAGAGUUUAGGAGAGGGAAGUAGAAUUUCAGGUGUAGCGGUGAAAUGCAUAGAGAUCUGAAGGAAUACCAGUGGCGAAGGCGACUUCCUGGCCUAAAACUGACGCUGAGGUGCGAAAGCGUGGGUAGCAAACGGGAUUAGAUACCCCGGUAGUCCACGCCGUAAACGAUGUCUACUAGUUGUUGGUCCCCUUGAGGGAUUAGUAACGCAGCUAACGCAUUAAGUAGACCGCCUGGGGAGUACGGUCGCAAGACUAAAACUCAAAGGAAUUGACGGGGGCCCGCACAAGCGGUGGAGCAUGUGGUUUAAUUCGAUGCAACGCGAAGAACCUUACCAUCCCUUGACAUCCGGAGAAUUUGUGAGAGAUCACUUAGUGCCUUCGGGAACUCCGUGACAGGUGCUGCACGGCUGUCGUCAGCUCGUGUCGUGAGAUGUUGGGUUAAGUCCCGCAACGAGCGCAACCCCUAUCCUUGGUUGCUAACAGGUAAUGCUGAGAACUCCAGGGAGACUGCCGGUGACAAACCGGAGGAAGGUGGGGACGACGUCAAGUCAUCAUGGCCCUUAUGGGAUGGGCUACACACGUGCUACAAUGGUCGGUACAGAGGGUCGCAAACUCGCGAGAGUAAGCUAAUCCCAGAAAGCCGGUCGUAGUCCGGAUUGGAGUCUGCAACUCGACUCCAUGAAGUUGGAAUCGCUAGUAAUCGUGGAUCAGAAUGCCACGGUGAAUACGUUCCCGGGCCUUGUACACACCGCCCGUCACACCAUGGGAGUGGGCUGCAAAAGAAGUAGGUAGACUAACCUUCGGGAAGUCGCUUACCACUUUGUGGUUCAUGACUGGGGUG
Molecule: ribosomal RNA, 1465 nt
Filed under: uncultured bacterium
Lineage: Bacteria
Description: bacterial SSU rRNA
Rfam family: Bacterial small subunit ribosomal RNA
Source: RNAcentral